GAUUAAAUGGCUGAGAUUUAGGCAAUAGACUGUAAAUCUAUGUACGAAAAUUUAUUUUCUUUAAUCA
Molecule: transfer RNA, 67 nt
Filed under: Megaselia scalaris
Lineage: Eukaryota; Metazoa; Arthropoda; Insecta; Diptera; Phoridae
Description: tRNA-Tyr
Rfam family: tRNA
About the family: Transfer RNA (tRNA) molecules are approximately 80 nucleotides in length.
Source: RNAcentral